UACGUAGGGGGCAAGCGUUGUCCGGAAUCAUUGGGCGUAAAGCGCGCGUAGGCGGCCCUGUAAGUCCGUUGUGAAAGUCAAAGGCUCAACCUUUGAAAGCCGAUGGAUACUGCAGGGCUAGAGUCCGGAAGAGGCGAGUGGAAUUCCUGGUGUAGCGGUGAAAUGCGCAGAUAUCAGGAGGAACACCAAUGGCGAAGGCAGCUCGCUGGGACGUGACUGACGCUGAGACGCGAAAGCGUGGGGAGCAAACAGG
This 253-nucleotide ribosomal RNA is filed under the name uncultured bacterium. RNAcentral describes it as "partial 16S ribosomal RNA". It matches the Rfam family "Bacterial small subunit ribosomal RNA", at positions 524 to 776 of the family's 1533-position model. The record is from RNAcentral.